This is a non-coding RNA of Meleagris gallopavo (turkey), 205 nucleotides long. Lineage: Eukaryota; Metazoa; Chordata; Aves; Galliformes; Phasianidae. The record is from RefSeq and is a predicted model, not a curated record.
AGUAAGCUUUAAUUGUGAUCUUCUAAUCCCACCAGAACAGGAUCCUGGCGUCCCUGGUUCUGGGAUAAAUGCUAUGUUUGAUCCUACUGACAGAAGGAGUCUGCAGUUUAAGCACUUACUGUGUGAAAUCAAUGUGACACUUCUGCCCUUGGCAAGGAAAUACUACUGAAAAAUCCCUACUUCACAAGAUCAACUGACAAGUAAG